UAGGGAAUCUUCGGCAAUGGACGAAAGUCUGACCGAGCAACGCCGUGUGAGUGAAGAGGGUUUUCGGAUCGUAAAACUCUGUUGGUAGAGAAGAACGUUGGUGAGAGUGGAAAGCUCAUCAAGUGACGGUAACUACCCAGAAAGGGACGGCUAACUACGUGCCAA
This 165-nucleotide ribosomal RNA is filed under the name uncultured bacterium. RNAcentral describes it as "partial 16S rRNA". It matches the Rfam family "Bacterial small subunit ribosomal RNA", at positions 355 to 511 of the family's 1533-position model. The record is from RNAcentral.